AACGAACGCUGGCGGCAUGCCUAACACAUGCAAGUCGAACGAGACCUUCGGGUCUAGUGGCGCACGGGUGCGUAACGCGUGGGAACCUGCCCUUAGGUUCGGAAUAACUCCCCGAAAGGGGUGCUAAUACCGGAUAAUGUCUUCGGACCAAAGAUUUAUCGCCUUUGGAUGGGCCCGCGUUGGAUUAGCUAGUUGGUAGGGUAAAAGCCUACCAAGGCGACGAUCCAUAGCUGGUCUGAGAGGAUGAUCAGCCACACUGGGACUGGGACACGGCCCAGACUCCGGCGGGAGGCAGCAGUGGGGAAUAUGGGACACUGGGCGAAAGCAUGAGCCAGCAAGGCCGCGUGAGUGAUGAAGGCCUUAGGGUUGUAAAGCGCUUUUACCCGGGAUGAUAAUGACGGAACCGGGAGAAUAAGACCCGCCUAACUCCGU
RNAcentral lists this ribosomal RNA (432 nucleotides) under uncultured bacterium. RNAcentral's name for it is "partial 16S ribosomal RNA". It matches the Rfam family "Bacterial small subunit ribosomal RNA", at positions 29 to 506 of the family's 1533-position model. The record is from RNAcentral.